UGUACAAAGGAUCAUGAAUUCAGCCACAAAAGAACAAGAGCAUCCUUGUCGUGCAAUCCACAUUGCAUUCCCUUUGGAUUCCCAUGCAUGCUUAAUCAUCCUUGUCCCCUAAAAUAUUUCUGAUUUCAUGCCCCAAUACACUUAAUUAUCACACUCAAUUGCUGCAUACCUCUUGUUCCCUUCACCCAUCUGAUUUCACACAACUUUCACAACCAUUCCAUGCACCAAUUGAUGCUCUAUCAUCCACAUUUGGGAUCCAAUGCCGUGUGC
Molecule: long non-coding RNA, 270 nt
Filed under: Malus domestica (apple)
Lineage: Eukaryota; Viridiplantae; Streptophyta; Magnoliopsida; Rosales; Rosaceae
Description: long non-coding RNA (MDOM_LNC018985)
Source: RNAcentral